Molecule: unclassified non-coding RNA, 268 nt
Filed under: Glomus sp.
Lineage: Eukaryota; Fungi; Glomeromycota; Glomeromycetes; Glomerales; Glomeraceae
Description: partial contains 5.8S ribosomal RNA and internal transcribed spacer 2
Rfam family: 5.8S ribosomal RNA (bases 1-65)
Source: RNAcentral
GUGAAUCAUCGAAUUUUUGAACGCAAAUUGCACUCUCUUCGGAGAGUAUGCCUGUUUGAGGGUCAGCCUAAAAAAAAUGGACAUAGUCGCUGUUUCGCGGUGACAUUCGUCGGAAAUUGGGUCAUCUUAAACCUUUUGAUGUAAGCGACUUAAAAUUUUCUUUUGGUUCCAUGAACGUUUCUAAGAUCUAUUUCUUUACACGUUUAAGGUAUCGAUUUUUACUAGACGUGACCAUCAUUUGGGUGCGUGUGCAUAAUAUUUAUUUAAU